Anthonomus grandis grandis is the source of this 1398-nucleotide long non-coding RNA. RefSeq lists it as uncharacterized. The transcript has 2 exons. The record is from RefSeq and is a predicted model, not a curated record. Lineage: Eukaryota; Metazoa; Arthropoda; Insecta; Coleoptera; Curculionidae.
UCGACAUGUCGAUUUGUUUUCCAUCGCUUGUCGGUAAACAUGAAAGAGCAGUCGAUCGACUUUAGUGUGUGGACGUGUUUUCGACGUUCGACAUUCGACAAAGUGUUAAAGUAGGAGUAGGUACUCGGUGACGUCUUGCCUUGUUGACAUGGUGGCCGUGUGUUUUCGUUGGAGAAAUGGAAUGGCUACAACAAGCUAAAGUCAUACCCUUUAUUGAGGCAUACAAACUAAAAACAAAUCUAUGGGAUUCUAAAACCAAAAACUAUAAGAACAGGAACUUGAGACACGAUGCCCUUAUGGAAAUUGGUAAAGAAUUUAACAUCGAGAAGCAAGCGGUAGAACAAAAAAUUAAAAAUCUUCAAAGUCAAUUUGCAAGAGAAGUAAAAAAAAUAAAGGACAGCAAGAAAUUUGGCUCUGGUACGGAGGAUGUGUAUAAAAGUAAAUGGUUUGCUUUUGAAAGUAUGAAAUUUUUACUAGACAAAAAUAAGCCCAGGGAGAUGUUGGAUUCACAGGUUUCAUCAGGGGUGGGUGCAGUGGAAAAUGCCAACGAUGUGGAUAAUACUGCUGAUGAGCAUGAGAAUACUCAAGAUGCCAUUUUAAAUACUGGAGAAGACAACUCUAAAGACUCUACGAGGAGUUGGAAAUGCCGAUAAUGUUGAAAUAGCAAAGGAAACUUUAACUAUAAAAAAACAGUUUAAGUCGCCAGCUCUUGGCCACGUACCUUCAAGAAAAAGGAAAUGCGAUAACCCAAUGACAAAACAAUCAAAGGAUGUGUUUACCACAUUUGGCGAAGAAGUGGCUGUGACAUUGCGAAAUUUGCUCACUACUUAUGCUCAAGCUACAGUGCAACACAAAAUAAGCACACUUUUGUUUGAAGCAAAAUUGGGAAAUUACAAUUAUCCCGUAGCACAACAACCACAGCAGCAGUAUUUUUCUCAGGCUCAGCAACAACACUAUUAUCCUCAAUCUCAGCAUUCUUAGCAACAGCAAUAUUUUUCCAGUACAGCAAAUUCAGGUGGCUUACUGAUGACCUCACCGAUGCAUUCCCCGGAAUCACAUUCCUCAUGCUCUCCUUUUAGCAAUCCCCCUACUUCGGCACAAUCAACUACUGCCCUUACAACUGAUGAAGAUGAAGCUGCAGAUCGUUUCAUCACCCAACUGCAAUCUCCAGGAAGUCAUACCUCAUAAGCUCGGUCAUAAGUAUAGAUAUGCGCACAACUAUUCUCAUUUAGGGUUUAAAUAUUUAGUUUUGUUUUAGUUAUAGUUUAUUUUUACUACUGUUGUGCCUAUUUAUUCUUUAUUAUGGUUAUGAAAAUUUGAUUUAAGAAGUAGCUAUAACUAUAUUUUCAUAUUUAUAUAAAUCUCGUUAAAUCUUAAUAAAUAAAGUGCUUACCUUAA